RNAcentral lists this ribosomal RNA (1442 nucleotides) under Roseomonas baikalica. RNAcentral's name for it is "partial 16S ribosomal RNA". It matches the Rfam family "Bacterial small subunit ribosomal RNA". Lineage: Bacteria; Pseudomonadati; Pseudomonadota; Alphaproteobacteria; Acetobacterales; Roseomonadaceae. The record is from RNAcentral.
CGCCUGUGCGGCUGCUUUUACCAUGCAGUCGCACGGGCAGCAAUGUCAGUGGCGGACGGGUGAGUAACGCGUAGGGAAGUGUCCAGAGGUGGGGGACAACCCCGGGAAACUGGGGCUAAUACCGCAUAUGGCCUGAGGGCCAAAGCAGUGAUGCGCCUUUGGAGUUACCUGCGUCCGAUUAGGUAGUUGGUGGGGUAAAGGCCUACCAAGCCGACCAUCGGUAGCUGGCUUGAGAGGACGACCAGCCACACUGGGACUGAGUCACCGCCCCCACUCCUACCAUGAGGACUUGAGGGGAAUAUUGCACAAUCCGGGUUGUCUGAUCCGUUCCUCUAGAGUGCCGUGAAGAAGGUCUUCGGAUCGUAAAGCCCUUUCGGCGGGGACGAUGAUGACGGUACCCGCAGAAGAAGCCCCGGCUAACCGGCAGGGCGGCUGCUUACCAUGCAGGUCGCACGGGCAGCAAUGUCAGUGGCGGACGGGUGAGUAACGCGUAGGGAAGUGUCCAGAGGUGGGGGACAAGCCCGGGAAACUGGGGCUAAUACCGCAUAUGGCCUGAGGGCCAAAGCAGUGAUGCGCCUUUGGAGUUACCUGCGUCCGAUUAGGUAGUUGGUGGGGUAAAGGCCUACCAAGCCGACGAUCGGUAGCUGGUCUGAGAGGACGACCAGCCACACUGGGACUGAGACACGGCGGAUUAGAUACUGUGCAUGUAGUUCGCACGGUAAGCAAUGUCAGUGGCGGACGGGUGAGUAACGCGUAGGGAAGUGUCCAGAGGUGGGGGACAACCCCGGGAAACUGGGGCUAAUACCGCAUAUGGCCUGAGGGCCAAAGCAGUGAUGCGCCUUUGGAGUUACCUGCGUCCGAUUAGGUAGUUGGUGGGGUAAAGGCCUACCAAGCCGACGAUCGGUACCUGGCCUGAGAGGACGACCAGCCACACUGGGACUGAGUCACGGCCCAAACUCCUACGGACUGCACAGGUGGGGAAUAUUGGACAAUGGGCGCGUGUCUGAUCCAGCAGGUUAAGUCCCGCAACGAGCGCAACCCUCGCCUUUAGUUGCCAGCACGUUUGGGUGGGCACUCUAGAGGAACUGCCGGUGACAAGCCGGAGGAAGGUGGGGAUGACGUCAAGUCCUCAUGGCCCUUAUGGGCUGGGCUACACACGUGCUACAAUGGCGGUGACAGUGGGAAGCCAGGCAGCGAUGUCGAGCCGAUCCCAAAAAGCCGUCUCAGUUCAGAUCGCAGCCUGCAACUCGGCUGCGUGAAGGUGGAAUCGCUAGUAAUCGCGGAUCAGCACGCCGCGGUGAAUACGUUCCCGGGCCUUGUACACACCGCCCGUCACACCAUGGGAGUUGGUUCUACCUUAAGCAGGUGCGCGAACCCGCAAGGGAUGUAGCUUGCCACGGUAGGGUCAGCGACUGGGGUGAAGUCGUGACAAGGUAGCCCGG